This 492-nucleotide ribosomal RNA is filed under the name uncultured organism. RNAcentral's name for it is "SSU rRNA". It matches the Rfam family "Bacterial small subunit ribosomal RNA", at positions 18 to 509 of the family's 1533-position model. The record is from RNAcentral.
CCUGGCUCAGGAUGAACGCUGGCGGCGUGCUUAACACAUGCAAGUCGAACGAAGCAACUUGUCAGAUCCCUUCGGGGUGACGACUUGUUGACUGAGUGGCGGACGGGUGAGUAACGCGUGGGUAACCUACCUUGUACGAGGGGGACAACAGUUGGAAACGACUGCUAAUACCGCAUAAGCGCACAGCUUUGCAUGAAGCAGUGUAGAAAAGUAUUUCGGUACAAGAUGGACCCGCGUCUGAUUAGCUAGUUGGUGAGGUAACGGCCCACCAAGGCGACGAUCAGUAGCCGACCUGAGAGGGUGACCGGCCACAUUGGGACUGAGACACGGCCCAAACUCCUACGGGAGGCAGCAGUGGGGAAUAUUGCACAAUGGGCGAAAGCCUGAUGCAGCGACGCCGCGUGAGCGAAGAAGUAUUUCGGUAUGUAAAGCUCUAUCAGCAGGGAAGAUAAUGACGGUACCUGACUAAGAAGCACCGGCUAAAUACGUGCC